CACACACACACACACACACACACACACACACACACACACACACACACAGACACAGAUAUUUUUGGUUUUAUGUGCUGAAGUUUUGAGAAAAUGAUCUAAACUUUGCAAUCAGCACUACACCUGACUAUCUCUCACUGCCAGCUAUCCCAUCGUGCUGCUCACCAGGGAUUCACCGGUUCUUAUAGAGAGUGAACUGGAGGUGGCGGCACUGCCCAGCUCGAUGUGUUCUGUGUUUCUACCCUUAAGAGUUGAUCUUAAAGUACUAGUUUGACAUUUUGGAAAAUAAAUGAAACGAGAUACAAUGUGUUAAUUAGUGAGCUUUAGGGGUGUUGGUCAGUGGAUUUUCUUACCUUUGGGCAGAGCCAGGCUAGCUGUUUCUCUGUUUCCAGUCUUUAGCCAAGCCAAUAAGUGUUAUGGUUUUGGAUUUAGUUAGUCAUUUCCUGUUUUAUUUUGUAAUACUCACCUCUCCUCAUGUGUUUUAUACUUUACUUCCUGUCUUUCUUUAGUUUCCUGCCUGUUUUCUGUAUCACUUGUGUUGCAUCAGUAAAUCAGUCUCUUGUGUAUUUAGUCCAUGUGCCUUCCCUCUGUCACUUGUCAGGUCAUCUGCGUUUGCUCUGCCAGUUCUGCGUUUUAUCCUCAGUCUUUUUUCCAGUGCCUCGUGUUCUCCCUGUGUUUCCCUUUUGUUCUUGGAUUCCCUGUGGAUUUACCUUUGUUGGACUUCUUUUAUUCUUUGUUGGACUUUUUCAUGGAUUACUCUUUGUUAAAGUCUUAACUGGAUUUCUUAGCUACCCUUAGUUGUUUUGUGUUCCUCCCCAACCUGAUCCAGUCGCUCUGGUUGAGGAAAUUUAGGUGGUGGGUUGGACUUGGUGGACACAGUAAACAUCCUGACGGCUCUGCUGGGCUUCCUGCUGAGACCUGGAGUGCUGAAUACUGAGAGGUUCCUGCAACAUCAGGGCUUGUCAUAGGUGUUGACUCCAGUGAAGCUCUGGCUCCUAGUGAUAGCUCUGGAGGUGAGGCGUCUGACUGGGUGAACGGAUAGCGACAUGGUGGAGAGAGUUCGGGAUGGACUCCCUGUACAGAGCAGAGGAGAAGAACCAUCAACAGAAUGCUGACACCACAGGAUGACGAACUGAUCAACUUGUCACGCUGUCAUCCAUCUUACACACAUCUGAUGAAACAGACACUCCAUUCCCACCUGGUAUUAGUGUGACGGCCCCUGCCUAACUAUUGAGAUGGUGGAGUGUUUUGCCAGUUACUGUUUUCUUAUGUGUCCUUAAAGGUACCACAGGAAUGCAGCUGCGGCAAACAGCCUGAUUCAGAGCACCUGUACCUUGCGCUCCCAGGAAAUAAAAGUCCAGCUUCAGCGCUGCUCUGGCUCUCUCUCUCUUACAGUCUCAUCCCAGCUCACAGCCAGUUUCUACACACUUUUGCCUUUGGCUUUGUUUUGCUUUUGCUUCCCAAUACCUUACACUAUUAUGCUCACCCAUCCACAUCUACAUCACUGAUGUUACUGAAUGACACACUCCAUAUUUGUAUUUAUUUCUUUAGUAGGGCACUUUAUCUCAAUAAAUAUCUUUAUUUUAUCAUCACCCUUCAUAUCCAUUUGUGUAUUUGUCAUGACCUAGGAGCCGGGUUAUGACAUUAGCAUACUGGAUAUCUUUUUUAAGAUUCAUUUUGAGGAAUUUUUGCCAUAAUUUGAUAGUCUGACAGUAGAGACAUAAAGGACACAUGGGAAGAGAGUAUGAGGGGUGCCAUGCAACAAAGGUGCCAGUCGGAAUCAAACCUGGGACACUGCAAUUAUCUGGACAUCUUAUCUGGAUCAGAAAAAAGCAUGUUGAUGCAGGUAUAAUUUUAUUUGUGUGAAAUCCUUAAUAUUCCCAGUAGCAAAUUAAGGUGAAAUUAACAACAAUAUAAUAGUUUUAUAACAAAUAUAUAAAUAGUGAUUUGACUGAAGUUGACUGAAAUGGAAACAAACAGAAAACCAAACUGGAGCAGGAAAGAAGUUCUGCUGCUGGUAGAAGAGCACAUCAGAGAAAUCAAAAGGAGUAACACAUUGACAAGUGCAGACAGUGAAGAUGUAUAAAAAGUGGGAAAAAAUACAAAGAAAGUGCUGUAACAUCCAAUCAAAUGCAAAUAGAGAGCUAAAACUACCAAAUUCUGAAGCAAUACAGCUGCUUCAGCUGUAUUUUUUUUAACCCGACAAUGAUAUUUCAUACAAUUAUUCCAAAACAUGUGUCAGAAGGUGUGUGUCACCUCUCUGUCUCUUUACUGCACCUCUGGAGCUCUCUUACAUUUAGAAGCAUUUUUAAGUCAUAAAAAAAUGUGAUAAAUUGCUUUUAUUCUUAGGUUUGUGAGUAGGGGUAAAAGUUAAAUAUUUUUACCUUUAUCUUUCAAUUGCAAAUUUUAACUUUUAGCACAGGCCCAGAUCUCAGCAAAGCAACCUGUACAGUGUGAUCACAUUCAUAUGAAAAAAAAUCUGCACAAAAACUUUUUUAAUUUGUUUUAAUUUUUUAUAAAUAUAACAUUUAUUACUUUUUUUAUUAAAUUAUUAGCCUUGU
Molecule: long non-coding RNA, 2558 nt
Organism: Siniperca chuatsi (mandarin fish)
Lineage: Eukaryota; Metazoa; Chordata; Actinopteri; Centrarchiformes; Sinipercidae
Exons: 3
Source: RefSeq, a predicted model, not a curated record